RNAcentral lists this transfer RNA (73 nucleotides) under Bos taurus (domestic cattle). It matches the Rfam family "tRNA". From Rfam's summary of the family: Transfer RNA (tRNA) molecules are approximately 80 nucleotides in length. Their secondary structure includes four short double-helical elements and three loops (D, anti-codon, and T loops). The record is from Rfam by way of RNAcentral. RNAcentral also lists the same sequence under 5 other names. Lineage: Eukaryota; Metazoa; Chordata; Mammalia; Artiodactyla; Bovidae.
UCCCUGUUGGUCCAGUGGUUAGCACUCUGUGCUUCCAAUGCAGGGGGCCUGGGUCCAAUCCCUAGUCAUGGAA